This 481-nucleotide ribosomal RNA is filed under the name uncultured bacterium. Its description in RNAcentral is "partial 16S ribosomal RNA". It matches the Rfam family "Bacterial small subunit ribosomal RNA", at positions 30 to 506 of the family's 1533-position model. The record is from RNAcentral.
AUUGAACGCUGGCGGCAUGCCUUACACAUGCAAGUCGAACGGUAACAGGUCUUCGGAUGCUGACGAGUGGCGAACGGGUGAGUAAUACAUCGGAACGUGCCCGAUCGUGGGGGAUAACGAGGCGAAAGCUUUGCUAAUACCGCAUACGAUCUACGGAUGAAAGCGGGGGAUCUUCGGACCUCGCGCGGACGGAGCGGCCGAUGGCAGAUUAGGUAGUUGGUGGGAUAAAAGCUUACCAAGCCGACGAUCUGUAGCUGGUCUGAGAGGAUGAUCAGCCACACUGGGACUGAGACACGGCCCCGACUCCUACGGGAGGCAGCAGUGGGGAAUUUUGGACAAUGGGCGAAAGCCUGAUCCAGCCAUGCCGCGUGCAGGAUGAAGGCCUUUGGGUUGUAAACUGCUUUUGUACGGAACGAAAAGCCUCUUUCUAAUAAAGAGGGGUCAUGACGGUACCGUAAGAAUAAGCACCGGCUAACUACGU